RNAcentral lists this ribosomal RNA (496 nucleotides) under uncultured bacterium. RNAcentral describes it as "partial 16S ribosomal RNA". It matches the Rfam family "Bacterial small subunit ribosomal RNA", at positions 28 to 506 of the family's 1533-position model. The record is from RNAcentral.
GAUGAACGCUGGCGGCGUGCCUAAUACAUGCAAGUCGAGCGAACAGACGAGGAGCUUGCUCCUCUGACGUUAGCGGCGGACGGGUGAGUAACACGUGGAUAACCUACCUAUAAGACUGGGAUAACUUCGGGAAACCGGAGCUAAUACCGGAUAAUAUAUUGAACCGCAUGGUUCAAUAGUGAAAGACGGUUUUGCUGUCACUUAUAGAUGGAUCCGCGCCGCAUUAGCUAGUUGGUAAGGUAACGGCUUACCAAGGCGACGAUGCGAAGCCGACCUGAGAGGGUGAUCGGCCACACUGGAACUGAGACACGGUCCAGACUCCUACGGGAGGCAGCAGUAGGGAAUCUUCCGCAAUGGGCGAAAGCCUGACGGAGCAACGCCGCGUGAGUGAUGAAGGUCUUCGGAUCGUAAAACUCUGUUAUUAGGGAAGAACAAAUGUGUAAGUAACUAUGCACGUCUUGACGGUACCUAAUCAGAAAGCCACGGCUAACUACGU